This is an RNA transcript of Panicum virgatum (switchgrass), 1348 nucleotides long. RefSeq lists it as uncharacterized. NCBI's taxonomy places the organism in Eukaryota, Viridiplantae, Streptophyta, Magnoliopsida, Poales, Poaceae. The transcript has 5 exons. The record is from RefSeq and is a predicted model, not a curated record.
CCGUGCCCCUCCCCAAAGCCGCUAGCCUCCGGCCGCCGGCAUCUCGUCUCCUGGAUUUGCUCGAGGUCGCCUCCCUCCCUGCCGCCUACCACAGACGCCCCGCCCCAUAGCUCUCAUCUGCGUCCAGCAGAUCACCGCCGCGGCCGACCCAGCCUACCCAAAGUCGCCUUCAACAUUUCCCCUUCCCCAGGCCGCUGCCGAUGCCGUGCCUCCACGAGCCUGCUGCCGAAUCUCCUACCUCAUCCCCGGUGGCCACCACUUCCGGGUCAGGGGAUGGAGGUGAUGCUUCUCCGUCAGGCACACGGCGGUAGAACACCCACCUUCGGCACAGCCGAAGGAUGCAACAAGGAUGUGCGUGAAAGGUGCAUCCCCAGCUCCGCUGCAGCAUGGACAAGGAGAUCUGCAAGAACCAGAACAUCACCAACCUGAAGGAAUCGUAGAAAUAUAUAUAUUAAGAGUUGGCGGCAUUUCAAAUGCUGCAGGUUUAUCUGAAAUGUGAUCACAAAAUGCAGCAGGGGCACGUUCAUACUACAGCAGGAAGCAGCGCCAUGGCAAGACGAUGUGUGGUUUAACACGAGAUUCAAAAUUUCGACCAAACUAUCAUAGUGACCAGCUGAGUGAGGCAAUUGAAGCAUGGUCAAUUCAAAACUACAAUCACUUAUGUUGCAAAUACCCAUGGUUCACUAGGAAAAACUUCAUGCUAUAUGUGUUGGAUCACGUGGAAAAAGAACUACACGUGAUCGAUCCAUCACCUGUUCCAAAGUGGUUUGAAGGAAAUGCAUUUCGAAAAUAUGGAAAGACUCUUCAGCAUUUCUGCAAAAAAUAUAUGGAUGCAAUGAAUGUUCAUAUCCCGGGUGGAAUGAAGAUAUAUACCAGUGGAAGUUCGUGCCUGAAAAUGAUAUAUUCAAGAUGACGAGCAAGGGUAUUUCACUGGUUCUGCAGUAUAUGUCUGCGUGGAAAAGUACAUUAAGCACCGUAAAUUUAUAAGGAGAGUAUGAGUAUACUACUUUGUGCAAACAAAUAGUUUGUGAUCUUCCAUAAUUAUUAUCUCAAUCGAUCACAUAUGAGAUAUAUACUUAUGUAUUCGAAUUGUCUGCAGGAUGCUCGCAGUCUCGCACCAUGCGUCAGAACUUCAUCAUCGAUAUGUUUGACCUCGGACUUGGAUUCUUAUAAAAAAUUACUUUCUGGGGAUGUAAAAUAUUAGCCGCAUCGUAGGAAGAGAUAUAAAAUAGAAUAUAUUGUAAAUUUGUUUGAAUAUUUAGUUGACCUUGGUGACAAAUGGUGAAUAUUUGUUGGCAGAUUUGCAUCUUUUUAUAAUUGAAUUUUUAGCUCAGACUGUUGGUAUCCA